Molecule: transfer RNA, 72 nt
Filed under: Cavia porcellus (domestic guinea pig)
Lineage: Eukaryota; Metazoa; Chordata; Mammalia; Rodentia; Caviidae
Rfam family: tRNA
About the family: Transfer RNA (tRNA) molecules are approximately 80 nucleotides in length.
Source: Rfam by way of RNAcentral
GGGGAUAUUGCUCAGUGGCACAGCACCAGUUUAGCAAGCAUGAGGUUAUGUGUUCAAUUCUCAGUGUCUCCU